This 482-nucleotide ribosomal RNA is filed under the name uncultured bacterium. Its description in RNAcentral is "partial 16S ribosomal RNA". It matches the Rfam family "Bacterial small subunit ribosomal RNA", at positions 30 to 507 of the family's 1533-position model. The record is from RNAcentral.
AUUGAACGCUGGCGGCAUGCUUUACACAUGCAAGUCGAACGGUAACAGGCCGCAAGGUGCUGACGAGUGGCGAACGGGUGAGUAAUGCAUCGGAACGUGCCCAGUCGUGGGGGAUAACUACUCGAAAGAGUAGCUAAUACCGCAUACGAUCUAUGGAUGAAAGCGGGGGACCGUAAGGCCUCGCGCGAUUGGAGCGGCCGAUGUCAGAUUAGGUAGUUGGUGGGGUAAAGGCUCACCAAGCCAACGAUCUGUAGCUGGUCUGAGAGGACGACCAGCCACACUGGGACUGAGACACGGCCCAGACUCCUACGGGAGGCAGCAGUGGGCAAUUUUGGACAAUGGGCGCAAGCCUGAUCCAGCAAUGCCGCGUGCAGGAAGAAGGCCUUCGGGUUGUAAACUGCUUUUGUACGGAACGAAACGGCUCUGGUUAAUACCCGGGGCUAAUGACGGUACCGUAAGAAUAAGCACCGGCUAACUACGUG